Molecule: long non-coding RNA, 1230 nt
Organism: Mauremys mutica (yellowpond turtle)
Lineage: Eukaryota; Metazoa; Chordata; Testudines; Geoemydidae
Exons: 3
Source: RefSeq, a predicted model, not a curated record
GGCUGAGCAGCUGCUGCUCCCGCAGUGGGAUCACAGCUGGGGAGUGACCGUGAGUAAAGCUUCCUCUGUGCCCAGCCAAGGGUUUUCAGUUUCCAAACCCGAUGUCAUCUCCCAGCUGGAAUGAGGGGAAGAGCCGUGGGCCCCAGAUCUCCAGGGCUCAGAGGAAAGAGAGAUCCUGAGAGGCAGUUGCAUGGCAGGUGAGGGGAUGGUCAGAGAGACCAUGGAGCAGAAGCCUCAUCAGGAAGAGGAGCAAGUGAAAGCACGUGGGGCAUUGUUGCAAAGAUGCAAAGGGAGUGUGUCCAGGAGUUGUGAGCAGGGAAAAGGUUCUCAGGGGCAGCACAGGCCAGAGAAACGGCAGGGAAACGAGCCAGAACAAAAAGUUGGAAUAUCUGUUAAUUAUUGGGGAACUCACAAAGGCCUCAAGGAAGCCACGGCUCAGCAGAGAAUCCUGACGGGAGAGAGAAAUAACACGGGCUUUGAGUAUGGGAAAAAGUUCAGGAGGCGCUCACGUCAUCAGAGAAUCCAUGCCAGAGUGAGACCUCAUGAGUGCUGCGAGUGUGGGAAAAUCUUCACCGAGCACUCAUGCCUUUUAAGCCAUCAGAGGAGCCACACGGGAGAAACCCUAUAAAUGCUGUGAGUGUGGGAAAUUCUUCUAUCAUGACUCUUCUCUUAUUUAUCACCAGAGAAGCUGCAAGGGAGAUAAACACCAUGAAAAUCUCGUCUGGGUCUCAGAAAAGAUUGCUUUUUUCCUUUUGCUAAUUCCCAAGUAGUGAACUUUAAGGGAGCAUUUGUGGCGUCUCUGCUCCUUCACGUGAGUUGUCUGCUUUUCCCUUUUGCAGCUCACCCUUCCUCGGAUGAAGCUCACAGUGUUUUUCAUCAACUCCUUUGUUCUGCGUCAUGGAAAUGUGCGUCCCUCCAGGAAUGUGUGUCAGCCCCAGGUGGGGGAGCUAGGAGAGACCUUUACUUAGUACAUGGAGGUUAAAAUCUACCUGGACCUUGACCCUGGUAGGGUCUUCCAUGGAGUUAGCUAGAUUGAGUUAGGGAUCCUGAUGUAAAAACACAACUAUUUUUUUCAGUGAAGAAAAUAGCCCAUAUAGUGGCCAGGGUAACGUAGCAAAUCUCCUCACCACAAUCUCCAUCACUUUUUGUAGUCUGUUCUCAGUGGUACCCAAUGACAGAACAAGGAGUAAUGGUCUCAAGUUGCAGAGGGGGAGGUUUAGGUUGGAUAUU